Molecule: unclassified non-coding RNA, 19 nt
Filed under: synthetic construct
Source: RNAcentral
GCAAGGAUAUUAUACAGCA